Non-coding RNA from Electrophorus electricus (electric eel), 1360 nucleotides. NCBI's taxonomy places the organism in Eukaryota, Metazoa, Chordata, Actinopteri, Gymnotiformes, Gymnotidae. The record is from RefSeq and is a predicted model, not a curated record.
CAUCGCAAACAACGACAUGGCUCGCUAUCCUUAGCCAGGCUGCUAGCUAGGUUAGACAGCUAAAAUAAUAUAAAUAUAAGCAGCAGUCAAGCGAAACCCGCCGGUGAGGGCGAUGCCCACUGGUCUGUCUGGACGGUUAUCUUUUGGAGCUUAUGAAUGCAAGAUGAGGGUUUUCAAGGGUUGAUUCUAGAUUCACGCUGGCUAGCCAUCUAGCAUAGCCUAGCCAACUAGCUACAGUGCUGCUCGCCUAACUAAGCCACGUUAGCUUGUUUGGCCACAGGUAUACAGGUAAACAGCUUCACCUGACACGAACGGCUGUACUCGACACGCACGAUUUCCUCAACACUGCGUCAUGGUCUUAUUCCUCUGACGGCAGAUGCCUGCAGGUGGCCAGUUAGCAAGCAACCGAUGCGCGUUACUGCAAAGCUAACAGCUCGCAAGCUAGCCUGGCUGACGAGACAAAAACGAGCAAAGGCCAUUAUUAAACACAGUCUGCGGAUCAAGUAAAGAGCGGCUGUGAGUGCCGCGCCCUGCGCACACCGCCUUUCCUACAACACUCACGACUUCCAAACGGAGGCAGGCGAGACGUCACUGGACAUGUCGGUGCACCAGAUCCUUCAACACUUCAGUAUGUCGCCGUGCAUCCCCAGGAGCGACCCAGAGCCCACUAAAUGCAUGCCUCAGUUUGAAUUUCUGUUCAUUUGACAGCGGGGGAAUUUGAAAUCGUAGGAGGCGGGAAUGGUUCUGCCACAUGCCUCCACCAGGAGGAGAACACGGGGACAUACAUGAACACGUGACUCUGAGACUUUUGGGUGUGUCAGAUUUUGAAUUUCGCACAUUUUCUAUGGCCCCAGUGCGUGUGGUUGAAAAUUGUUCUAAGCAUCCACUGUCUUUCUACAGACAGCUAUACGGUCUUCAUGUAGACAUUGGUUUUAGACAAGUGGUUUUAGAGGCAUCGCUGCGAAGAAGAACCAGCUGAGAAAUUGCAGUCUCAGAGGAGACUACCCCAGAAGUGUAGUAUUAACAAUAUGCUAUUUCAGUAAAACACAGCGAGUGUAUUGUGUUGAUUGCAAAAAUUUUAAAAGAGCAGUUAUUGUAUAAGUGCUACAGUUAACAACACGGUUAUAAAAAUAAUAGCUAUUAUUUAGGUUCCUUAUGGUAGAAUUCAAUAUUCUGUUUUAUUUGAAAAAAACGUCAAUGUCUGAAAAGAUUCAUGUGAAGCUAAACUAAUUUCACAAUAACCUGUAAAUGGUACUUAGCUUAUUAAUUUGUUGUUCGAAUUAUUUAUUUAUUUUAUAACUAACGAACUGAUCGGGCAAUGUAUUUGUUUAAGAAUUAAAGAGAACCGAGAGAACGAGAA